This 856-nucleotide long non-coding RNA is filed under the name Ananas comosus (pineapple). RNAcentral describes it as "long non-coding RNA (ACOM_LNC027327)". The record is from RNAcentral. Lineage: Eukaryota; Viridiplantae; Streptophyta; Magnoliopsida; Poales; Bromeliaceae.
GGAAACAGAUUGGGUAAUUUUAGGUUAAUUAAACCUAGAGCAAUGCUCCUAUGCACCAAAAAGAUCUCGGCUUUUAAAUUUUUUAAAAUGAAUGAUGGAGAUGUCUUUUAGUUAAGAGGAUGACUAGCUUUUGUUGCCUUAAGUACCAGUCACCCUCUUACCCAAGGGCAAACUAUUUCCUCAUAUGUAAAAUUAGCGUGAAGGGCUUUUUGUAAAUUUCUAUUUUCAUUCUCAUAAUGUCUCUUUAGUAAUUAUAAAAUAUCUCAUUCUAUUUUUGAAUUUUAAUAUUGUUUUUUUACUAUCGAAUAAACAAUUUGAAUUUAAUUUUAAAAAUAGAAGCCUUUAAUUUAAAUAAAUAAUAAAAGUUAUAUUUAUAAAUACAACAUAAUUUACAAUUUAAAAUAAGUUAAUAUAUUUGAAUUUCGUGUCAUUUUAAUAUCAAAUUAACAAUUUGAAUUGAAAUAUACUAUUCAUUUAAACAUAAAUUUUUUCGUUCUGAAAAUUAAAAUUAAAAUUAAAAUUGAAUUUAAUGUACACAAUUAUAAAGUUUAAGCUCAAAUUGAAUUUUAAAUUCAAUUUUAUAAAAGUUUAUUACUUAUCAAAUUAGCACUAUCUAAUUUGGUAAGUAAUAAAAUUAAAUAAGGAAACAAAUAUUUGUAUAGGGUUAAUCAAAUUUGGUAAUUAGUUUGUACUUAUUUUCUCAUAUUAUCCUUACGAAUGGUAACCUGUUGAGCAAGUAACUAUUAGCAAAAAUCAAUCUUGCCCUUAAAAUAUGAACGGCUAGAUUUAAUUUAGCCGGUGUAUUGAAGCAUUACUCUUAAACCUAAAACUUAUCAUAAUUUUAAGGAUUUGAAUU